Long non-coding RNA from Orbicella faveolata, 828 nucleotides. RefSeq lists it as uncharacterized. The record is from RefSeq and is a predicted model, not a curated record. NCBI's taxonomy places the organism in Eukaryota, Metazoa, Cnidaria, Anthozoa, Scleractinia, Merulinidae.
CACAGAAGGCUUGUGAGAUUCACGUCACAAUCACGCACGGAGCUCACAAUCGGACGAAUCAAACCUCCACCCAGACGCUUUGGGAAGCCUGCCAGUCUCUUACUCGGAGCAAAGACGAUGCCGCUUGGCCAUGAUUGGACCGUUCACAAGUGACGGGCAGGUGAUCUGCUGGAGAUGAAAGCUGCUUCGCGGAUUAUGAAAUCCCGCGUUGCCAAACGCUCUUUGUUAUGACUUUUUAAGAAGAGGAUUUCCGGUCUGUUACCGCUAAUAAUACUUUCGAUUCGGGUCGAGGGAAAAUAUUGCAGGAACUUUUAACUUUUUCCUCGUUUACAGAACAAUUUCCAUUUUGCAACCACUUUAUUAGAGUAAACGACAAAUUGUUCGUUUACUGACAGAAUAUUCGAAAUAAUGGAAUUAUAUGAGUUAUUUCCCUAAGUUAUUAAUGUCAUAAGCGAACGACUAUUAAUCACCACCUUAAUCACAAAUAUUGAAUAACAUGAGCAAUUUAAAAGGCGCGCUGGAAUUAUUCUAAAGUCUUUUGGAAGGUCGAGAAAAUACACAUUUGGAAAAUUGUGUUUACUUUUAAUAUUUACCUUCAUAAAAAUGAUCAAAACACGGCGGGUUUUCUGCUUAUGUUGUUAAAUGAUUAAAAGAGAAUGCUGAUAUCUGCCUAAAAUUGGCUGGAAAAUGAGGAUCACUGCUAUGUUCUUACGUACCGAGUGAAGUUUUCCCUCAGAAAGAGCGAAAGUAAAUUAAUCAUGAUUAACGUGCGCUAAAAAAACAAUUAAAUAAAACGACGAAUAAUGUUAAUCUGUCAGAGCAUCUGCA